This 2606-nucleotide long non-coding RNA is filed under the name Homo sapiens (human). RNAcentral's name for it is "HSALNT0243250". Lineage: Eukaryota; Metazoa; Chordata; Mammalia; Primates; Hominidae. The record is from RNAcentral.
UGUCGUGACAGGGAAAAGGUGACACUGGAAGGGGCUAACCCCAGGUUGGCCUAGAACUGGCCGUUCCAGUGAGCUGAGGGGUCUGCAUAAUUGGAUAAGAUAGCCACACUUUUUCAGUCCUGCCCAAGAAUAUCUGUGAGAAUAAAAUGAAAGUUAGCCUGUGUCCAUGUCUCCUGCCCUAAACAAAAGGAAGCUCAGUGAGACAGAACCCCCAAAGCAGUGACUUGUCUUGCAGGCCAAUUACGUUGUCUCCCCAGCCUCUCUGCAGCUGUUCUGGCCUCUGCUUUCUGGGAUGGAGCCUCUGCUCUGGGGGCCCUCCACAGCCCAGCUCCAGGAAGGUGACUGCUUCCUGGUUUGAGACGUAUUAUUAAACUGUAAUCAUACUGUGCAUGGAGUCAGCCAAAGCAGUGGCUAUUAAUAGGGAGGUGAAGAAUGCUGACUCAGAAGGAAGCUGACUUAGGCUGGAAGGGAGAGCCCGGCCACCUUGGCCUACAAUUCUCAGCAGGAGGUCAGUGAGAGAGACCUGAGCUCACUUCGUUCCUGGGCAGGAGUCAGCAUUAUCUGGAUUUCUCAACUUUGGAAAUAGAAACCCGAAGCAGUCCUGAUCAAAGGGAUAUUGAGCUGUCUUUCCCAGGUCCUUGGGGAGUCUCCGAGCCCGGAGUACUGAUAGCUUAAAUAGCUAUGACUCAGCAGAGCAGCAACUCUUCCCUCCCGAUGUCAUGAGUAGAUGAGACUUGGAAAGGGGCACUGGGACUCCAUUUCCGUGACCUCCCUCAGCUGAGAAGCCUGUGCUGAGCCAGCCCUUAGCUGGCCGGACAACCCCCAUUGGCAGAGACACCCAAUUAGGGAGAUUCUGUUUCUGGCUCCUUGGAGGUGACCAUUUUCAUUUCAGGUGAAGGGCCACGGUAAAUGAAGGGCAGGGUGCAGGAGGGCCUCACACUGUGGAGAAAGGACAUUUUUAGCAAUUUCUGUCAAUGCCAUGCAUUUCUCAGAGAGUUCAGACUUUAGCCGUCUGGUAGACUCCCCAUCGUCAGGUAGCUGGAAGUAAGACAGAUCCCCGAAUCUGGCCCAGGAUAUGCCCCGGAGAAACAGGACUGCCCCUGGAUGCACAAUAGCCCUCACUCUGCAGCAGCCACCAAACAGCCUUCACACGUGCUGCUUCAGCUCGUUCUCACCAACCCCAGCAGCUGACAACAGAGUCAACCUCUUCGAGGCAGGAGCAUUCUGGCAUUUCGCACAGAGAAAACAGAACACAAUUUGCCCUCGGGCCCAGUUGAUGAUUCCUGGACCGUGGGGUCGAUAUCCAGGGCUGGCAUCUCCACGGUUCUUUUAUCUCAGUCUCCACUAUAAACACCAGGCCCCAUGAGAGCUGCUGGGCUGAGGCUCAUUUAAAGAAGCUUCCUGCGGAAUGAUGAGGGAAAAGGCAGGUCCGUAAAUCCCCGCCUGCGCCCGCCGAGGAUUCCAAGCGCAUGAGCAGCUCCAGGCUCCAGCUUGCUGUCCCCCUUGCCCUCCUUCUUGCAUUAGCAGGCACUUCCUCUAAGGCUGCUGCCCUGGGAGGGUUUCUUGCAAACCCACUAGAUCUGAGGAAAGACAGAGAAAACAUCUACUUAAGGCUGCCCAGAUGACAGCAUGUGUCUAAAAAUAUAUGUCUCCUAGUUUUCGAGUGAUCGAAGGCCCCACAGCCUUCAGCACUGGAGUCAUUUAGAGGUCAUGGUGAAAGGACUGGCUCCCUCCUUGCCUCCAUUUAAGCAGAAGCUGCGAGAAAGCCCCCAAAGCCUUGGGUCAUGUCUCCAACAGGCUCGGGUGAGUGGGAAGUUCGGCCUCAUAGAAGGCCCCUUGCUGGUGCGGUUCAUGAGGACGAUAAAUUAGCAAAGCUGAGGUGCGCCCAUCACGGUGAGCAGUUCUCUAUUGCUUCUCUUCUGGGGAAUGAACAGGCUUCAUUUGCUUUUCCCUGAGGCCAGGUUUCUAACCCAAAUCUGUCCCUGGAGUCUUUGGCCUGAAAUAAGAAAGGAGUCUUGAGUCAGCAGGAGAGCCACUCCUCACUAUGAAUUACACAGCAACUCCUUGUGGAUCUGCCCGUACCCUUCCCCCGGGCACACAUCAAUCAAUCGAAGUAUUUCUCAAAUAUCUACCCCAUACCCAGAACUGGGCAUUUAGGUACGUGGUUCAAGUUUCAGAUUCUUCCAGCAAAUGGUUUGUAUGGGGUAAGAAAAAGGAUUGGAGGUCAGGUAGGCAGCUGAGUAAUCCCCAACUCUGCCUUUUUAAAAGUGGUUUCAGUUGCGCAUCCUUGGAAUUGAUUCUGGGCAGCUGUUAAUUGCAAAACUCACUGCCAAUUAUCGAUAGCUAAAGUGGCAUUGGAGAGCUUCUCAUGGUAAAAAUAGGGGCAGGUAAUAGAUGAGAAAAUAGCUUUACAUUUGAGAAGAGAGGAUGGGAACAUAUUGUCUCAAUCUUGCUGUGUUCGAGGUUUCCUUUGUCAGCCUGGGUUCUCUCCCAAGACUGGCCAGCAAAGUCUACUUAGUGACCUCCAGCAAAUAGUCCACCAGCAAGCUACUUAAGAUUAGAGCAGGCUGGGCGUGGUGGCUCACGCCUGUAAUCCCAGGACUUUG